Molecule: ribosomal RNA, 449 nt
Filed under: uncultured bacterium
Lineage: Bacteria
Description: partial 16S ribosomal RNA
Rfam family: Bacterial small subunit ribosomal RNA
Source: RNAcentral
AACGAACGCUGGCGGUAUGCCUAACACAUGCAAGUCGAACGAGAUCUUCGGGUCUAGUGGCGCACGGGUGCGUAACGCGUGGGAAUCUGCCCUUUGGUUCGGAAUAACAGUUGGAAACGACUGCUAAUACCGGAUGAUGACGAAAGUCCAAAGAUUUAUCGCCAGAGGAUGAGCCCGCGUAGGAUUAGCUAGUUGGUGUGGUAAAGGCGCACCAAGGCGACGAUCCUUAGCUGGUCUGAGAGGAUGAUCAGCCACACUGGGACUGAGACACGGCCCAGACUCCUACGGGAGGCAGCAGUGGGGAAUAUUGGACAAUGGGCGAAAGCCUGAUCCAGCAAUGCCGCGUGAGUGAUGAAGGCCUUAGGGGUGUAAAGCUCUUUUACCCGGGAUGAUAAUGACAGUACCGGGAGAAUAAGCUCCGGCUAACUCCGUGCCAGCCGCCGCGGUAA